GUAGCCGGCCUGAGAGGGUGGACGGCCACAUUGGGACUGAGACACGGCCCAAACUCCUACGGAAGGCAGCAG
This 72-nucleotide ribosomal RNA is filed under the name uncultured bacterium. Its description in RNAcentral is "partial 16S ribosomal RNA". It matches the Rfam family "Bacterial small subunit ribosomal RNA", at positions 283 to 354 of the family's 1533-position model. The record is from RNAcentral.